Molecule: ribosomal RNA, 797 nt
Filed under: Spizocorys fringillaris
Lineage: Eukaryota; Metazoa; Chordata; Aves; Passeriformes; Alaudidae
Description: partial 16S ribosomal RNA
Rfam family: Bacterial large subunit ribosomal RNA
Source: RNAcentral
GAAAGAUUAAAACCUGUAAAAGGAACUCGGCAAACCCGUCAAGGCCCGACUGUUUACCAAAAACAUAGCCUUCAGCAAACCAAAGGACAAGUAUUGAAGGUGAUGCCUGCCCGGUGACAUAGUUCAACGGCCGCGGUAUCCUAACCGUGCAAAGGUAGCGCAAUCAAUUGUCCCGUAAAUCGGGACACGUAUGAAUGGCUAAACGAGGUCUUAACUGUCUGUUACAGGCAAUCGGUGAAAUUGAUCUCCCUGUGCGAAAGCAGGGAUAACCCCAUAAGACGAGAAGACCCUGUGGAACUUCAAAAACAGCAACCACCCCAAUAUACAUUCACACCCAAAGCACUGGUUAGCAUUUUUUCGGUUGGGGCGACCUUGGAGCAAAACAAAACCUCCAAAAACUGGACCAUCCCUCCAGACUGAGAGCAACCCCUCAACGUGCCAAAAGCACCCAGAUCCAAUACAAUUGAUCAAUGGACCAAGCUACCCCAGGGAUAACAGCGCAAUCUCCCCCGAGAGUCCAUAUCGACGGGGAGGUUUACGACCUCGAUGUUGGAUCAGGACAUCCUAGUGGUGCAGGAGCUACUAAGGGUUCGUUUGUUCAACGAUUAACAGUCCUACGUGAUCUGAGUUCAGACCGGAGCAAUCCAGGUCGGUUUCUAUCUAUGAUGAACUCUUCCUCGUACGAAAGGAUCGGAAAAGUGAGGCCAAUACCACAAGCAAGCCUUCGCCUUAAGUAAUGAAGCCAACUCAAUUACAAAAGGCUAUCACCCCACACCACGUCCAAGAAAAGGACGUAA